RNAcentral lists this long non-coding RNA (1242 nucleotides) under Apteryx rowi (Okarito brown kiwi). RNAcentral's name for it is "lncRNA (ENSARWG00000017442.1)". Lineage: Eukaryota; Metazoa; Chordata; Aves; Apterygiformes; Apterygidae. The record is from RNAcentral.
AUGAAAAACCCAGCUGCAUUCAGACCCCCUGAACCACAGCGCACCUUGGCAGCCCCCACGUUGCCCUUUAUGGCCAGACCGUCUCCACGCAGCUCCCGUUCCCUGUAUCCCGCCCCAAAGGCCUCCACCAUUAGCGUGCCAGGGCAGGAAAGCCUGCUGCCAGUACACGCUGCCGGCGCAGCCCUGGGACCCUCGGCCUCUCCCCAGCGCAGCCGUGAACACCCCAUGCGGGCCCAAGCCCUGCCCCGGGGGAACCGGCAGCAGUUUCCAGCCCCGAGAGAGCCGCCGGGGCCCUCGCGGCUCCCGCAGGUGGCCUGGGCACCCCCAGGAGCUGCUGCUCUCCCUGGGCCCUUGAUGGGGGGCUCCGAAAGGGACCCCCAGUUCCAGGAGAAGCGAGCAGAACCUGGCAGCCCUUCACUGCCGCGGGGGUGCGGGUGGGGCAAAGACCCCCCCGAGCCCCCCCACGGGAGAUGUGUGUGCGUGGGGGUGGGGAUGAGCCCCCACCCCGAGCCCCUCCAUAGCCAAGGGUGUGUGUGUGUCGGGGGGGGGGGGGGGAAUGCGGCCUCCUCCCGAGCCCCUCCCGGCCGCCUGGGGGAGGAAGGGGGUACGAGACCCCCCCCCGCCCCGAGCCCCUCCGUGACCGGGAGGGAGAAGGCCGAGCCGCCCCCCAAGUCCCUCUAUAGCUCGGGGGAGGGGGGGGAAAGACCCCUCCCCCUUUCGCAGCCGGGGAGAGGCCUCCCCCGGGGCCCGUCCCGCCUGCCGGGGGCCGCGCAGGGCCUGUACGCCCCUUGGCCCUCUCCCCGACGCCGCCUCCCGGCCCGGCCCUCACCUCCUUUCGGCAUCGCGGCGGCGAUGGCGGCUCCGGCAGCUGCAGCAAGGCCCCCCCCCCCGUGGCCCCGAGUGGCGACCCGGAAGCGGAAGCCGCCCCACCCCCCGCACGCGGCGCGCGGCCCUCCGCGCCGCUCAGUCACCACGACCCCGGAGGCCCCCGCGGCGGGGCUGCCCUCGGCGCCGCCUCCCCCACGGGUCGCGCCGCCGCGCCAGGGCCAGCCGCGACCGGAGGGAACGAGGCUGCUUCCACUCCUGGCGGUCGCGCUCCCUGCCCUGCCCCAACCGAGGUGGAGGGGGGGGGUAACGGGGAGGGUUUUAUUCAGGCAUCGCGGCGGCCACCUCAGCGGGGGUGGUGCGCGGCGCCUGGCGGGAGGGCGGCCGGGGCGGGAAAGGCCCCGCGGGGUGACGUAA